UGGAGGUGCGGGGGAUCGAACCCCGGGCCUUCCACAUGCAAAGCGAACGCUCUACCACUGAGCUACACCCCC
This 72-nucleotide transfer RNA is filed under the name Araneus ventricosus. RNAcentral's name for it is "tRNA-Ala". Lineage: Eukaryota; Metazoa; Arthropoda; Arachnida; Araneae; Araneidae. The record is from RNAcentral.